Molecule: long non-coding RNA, 861 nt
Organism: Triticum aestivum (bread wheat)
Lineage: Eukaryota; Viridiplantae; Streptophyta; Magnoliopsida; Poales; Poaceae
Exons: 2
Source: RefSeq, a predicted model, not a curated record
UUUGCGCGAAUCCUAUCGUCUCCUUCCGUUGCCUGUCUCCUGUACCUCUCUCUGUUCUCCUCUGUACCAGGCCCUCCAGCUGCGAGCUAGGGUUCGGGGAGCCUGCUCCGUUGCCUCUCUCGCCCCCUCUCCUGGACCUUCUCCACCUUCUAUCUUGUAUCUAGUUCCGACGUCUUUAAAGCACCAGCGCCCCUCCUCUCCUCUGAGUCGCUCCCAGCGAAGACGCCAUUGCCGCCGGCGAGCGCGUACAUGUAGCGCCGCUGUGUUGUAGCUCCGGGGGACGACGACGGAACUACCCAAAGGAGCCGGCUAUCUUCUGCGCCUCGAGAAUCUAGGGGCAAAUAUCAUCCAAAAGGUCCCAGAUAAGUAGGGGCGGUGGUUUCACUGAUUUGAUGGUCGGAUAAUUAUUUAAGUCAUUCAGUUGUCUACAUUCUUGCUGGAAAUGGUGGUGAUAUUUGUAGGAGAUGAGGUUUUCGACUUGUGUUCUUUCCAGGAGAUCACAUUUGAAAGUGUGUCACUGAAGCAUGCAUAUGUUCUAUGCAUGUAACUCUGGAUGCACUUACUGUUAGCUUCAGGAAGUUGCUAGCACUGAACCAUGUCUCAUUCGUCGUGUUUAACCGGGAUGAAAAGAUUGUAUGACCUGACAAGGAAGUUUCUGGAACUGAUGUAUUUCCGUUCAUUUGCAAUGGAAAGGGGUUAAAGCCCGGUUCAAAAAAAAUGACCUGACAAGGAAUUGCUAAGCCUAGCUUGAUGUAGAUUUCAACAUUUGGUUUGUCUUUCUGUGUUACUUGUAGCCAACCUGCUAUAUGUCAUGCUCAUGUGCCUACUUGCUGAAUUAGUGCGACCUUAUUACUAUGUGUA